RNAcentral lists this long non-coding RNA (350 nucleotides) under Bos taurus (domestic cattle). RNAcentral's name for it is "long non-coding RNA NONBTAT007338". Lineage: Eukaryota; Metazoa; Chordata; Mammalia; Artiodactyla; Bovidae. The record is from RNAcentral.
GCUGUUCAUAGUCUGCAUGUAGGUUACAUGUUAGGAAUACAUUUAUCAUUUCCAGAGUUGUUGCUAGGGAUUAAAUGAAAUGCUCUGUUUCUAAAACUUACCUUGAACCCAAAUUUAAUUUUUUGAAUGAUUAUCCCUGUUACUAUAUAAACUGUCUUGAAAACUAGAACAUUUCUCCUCCUCAGAAAGUGUUUUUCCAACUGCAAAUUAUUUUUCAGGUCCUAAAACCUGCUAAAUGUUUUUAGGAAGUACUUAAACUGAAACAUUUUUGUAAGACAUUUUUGGAAUGAGAUUGAAUUUGGGCCACUAUUAGUGAUAUAAAUGUCAUUAUUUCUGACUUUUAAACAAAG